GUUUUUUCAGUUUUCUACAUGUGGUGGAUUCAAAGCUUGCACCGCUACGGGUUUGCACUUUCCUCUUGUACAUUUGUCUGCUAAGUGUUGGUUUGCUACAUGUGGUGGAUUCCAAGCUUGCGCCACUAAGGUCUUUCAAAGAAUUGGUUGCAAUGUGUCUGGUGAAAGAUCCAGGAAAGAGGAGGAAUUUAUUGAAACACACCUUUUUCAAG
Quercus lobata is the source of this 212-nucleotide long non-coding RNA. RefSeq lists it as uncharacterized. The record is from RefSeq and is a predicted model, not a curated record. NCBI's taxonomy places the organism in Eukaryota, Viridiplantae, Streptophyta, Magnoliopsida, Fagales, Fagaceae. The transcript is spliced from 3 exons.